Molecule: unclassified non-coding RNA, 203 nt
Filed under: Hevea brasiliensis (rubber tree)
Lineage: Eukaryota; Viridiplantae; Streptophyta; Magnoliopsida; Malpighiales; Euphorbiaceae
Source: RNAcentral
AUAGUCACCCACCAUUGCAUAACCGCGAAAUAUCCUAAUUCUAGAUCUGAUCAUUUCACUGAUGGUACAACAUGCUUCUAUAAUUAUAAAACACAAAAUACAAAUAUAAAUUCAUAAUCAGUUCCAAUACAAAUUCCAACGAUUCAAACACAAUCAAAAUGAGGUAUAGCCCACUUUCAGCAACUUAAGCAUAGAAAAAAAAA